ACACGUCUACAUUAGAUACCCGUGUAGUCCAGCCGUAAACUAUGCGCGUUAGGUGUAUCGGUGACCACGAGUUACCGAGGUGCCGAAGGGAAACCGUGAAACGUGCCGCCUGGGAAGUACGGUCGCAAGGCUGAAACUUAAAGGAAUUGGCGGGGGAGCACCACAACAGGUGGAGCCUGCGGUUUAAUUGGACUCAACGCCGGGAAGCUCACCGGAUAGGACAGCAGAAUGAUUGCCGGGCUGAAGACCCUGCAUGACUAGCUG
RNAcentral lists this ribosomal RNA (264 nucleotides) under uncultured archaeon. Its description in RNAcentral is "partial 16S ribosomal RNA". It matches the Rfam family "Archaeal small subunit ribosomal RNA", at positions 722 to 982 of the family's 1478-position model. The record is from RNAcentral.